Molecule: long non-coding RNA, 991 nt
Organism: Mytilus californianus (California mussel)
Lineage: Eukaryota; Metazoa; Mollusca; Bivalvia; Mytilida; Mytilidae
Exons: 3
Source: RefSeq, a predicted model, not a curated record
ACAUAUAUCCAUAUCAUUACGAUUGCCUUGUGGCUGGUCUAUAAUUUCCAUUGAUUGUAUCACACAUAAAAUUUACCCGUAUUUACUACUUAGUAUAUGCUAAAUAUGUAUAUAGCAUGUAUUUGUUUUAAACCAAAAAUGACGACAACGUAUUGGUAUUUUUACAUCAAACGGAAGUGAUCAUUUGCCCGAAGGAAUUGAUGCAACAACAUUUGACGAUAGUUGACCCUUGUUCUGUCAUUUAUCAGGUGGGAAUAUUCAAUUUUGGUUAGAAAAUAUCUGAAAAUUUGUCAAAUGUUUAUGGAAAUGUCGAGAAUUCGUUUGAUUGUUCUUGUCUCGUGCCAAAUAUUUUGUCUUGUUCAAAGUCUUAAUACACUUGAUGGAAUAUUUACUGGUACAUUUUUGGAUACUAUCGCAAAGUCGCGGACAAAUCCAGAAAAGACAGGAUGUGACAAACAAACUGCUAACCAAUCGAAUCCUUACUUUUUUGGCACUACGGACCUCAAAUGUCUUAAUAUAGAAGCAAAAUUGCGAACAAAAGGUUAUGAUUUGCAAGAUAUUCAGGAUCUCCGAGAGAAAUUUCCACGUCUCAUUGGUAAAAGAUCUGUUGGGGAGAAAAAUAAAACACAAUCAUCUGAGCCUCGGAAUCAGUCACCAUACAGAAGCACGUUACGCAUUGUACAUAGAUGGAUAUUCUACGACGGGUACUUUAUUGAAUUCGGUGCUGGAAGCGGAAAUAUUGGCAACUAUCAAGAUGUUGGCAAUAAGACAAUAUAUUCUGCCCUAAACGGAAAUGGCGGGAAAACAGAUUCGAAAUUUGAUGAAAAUAGCUUGUCCAAUGCUAAUAUGCAAACAGUGUACCCCAAAAAUGGGGAUAUAUGUUCUGCCAAAAUGGAGAGUGAAAUAGCUGGGUAUAGUUCCGUGCCAUUGGAAUGUUUAUACAAAUGUGCUAGAAGUUUCGUCUCCAAGUUUGGAAAGUAUCAUUUGAUUA